RNAcentral lists this unclassified non-coding RNA (209 nucleotides) under plant metagenome. RNAcentral describes it as "partial contains small subunit ribosomal RNA and internal transcribed spacer 1". The stretch from base 1 to 46 matches the Rfam family "Eukaryotic small subunit ribosomal RNA", at positions 1786 to 1831 of the family's 1831-position model. The record is from RNAcentral.
AAGUCGUAACAAGGUUUCCGUAGGUGAACCUGCGGAAGGAUCAUUAAAGAGACGUUGCCCUUCGGGGUAUACCUCCCACCCAUUGUUUAUUUACCUUUGUUGCUUUGGCAGUCCCGGCUUCGGCCCACCGGCUCCGGCUGGUCAGUGACUGUCGAAGAUACCAAAACUCUGUUUGUUAAUAUUGUCUGAGUACUAUAUGAUAGUUAAAA